GACGAACGCUGGCGGCGUGCUUAACACAUGCAAGUCGAACGAAGAGCGACGGAAGCUUGCUUCUAUCAAUCUUAGUGGCGAACGGGUGAGUAACGCGUAAUCAACCUGCCCUUCAGAGGGGGACAACAGUUGGAAACGACUGCUAAUACCGCAUACGAUCUAAUCUCGGCAUCGAGGAUGGAUGAAAGGUGGCCUCUACAUGUAAGCUAUCACUGAAGGAGGGGAUUGCGUCUGAUUAGCUAGUUGGAGGGGUAACGGCCCACCAAGGCGAUGAUCAGUAGCCGGUCUGAGAGGAUGAACGGCCACAUUGGGACUGAGACACGGCCCAGACUCCUACGGGAGGCAGCAGUGGGGAAUCUUCCGCAAGGGACGAAAGUCUGACGGAGCAACGCCGCGUGAGUGAUGACGGCCGUCGGGUUGUAAAGCUCUGUUAAUCGGGACGAAAGGCCUUCUUGCGAAUAGUGAGAAGGAUUGACGGUACCGGAAGAGAAAGCCACGGCUAACUACGUG
Molecule: ribosomal RNA, 510 nt
Filed under: uncultured bacterium
Lineage: Bacteria
Description: partial 16S ribosomal RNA
Rfam family: Bacterial small subunit ribosomal RNA
Source: RNAcentral